AAGACUAUACAUUCGGAUCAUUUCUAUAGUUUGUUACUAGAGAAGUUUCUCUGAUCUUGUAGAGCACCCAAAACCAUGAGGAGUCAGAAAAUCCUCUCCUAAGCAAGAAGCCAGUUCUAGAUGUUACUUCUGCAACUGCCUUUUGCCAUUGAUGAUCAUCCUUCCCUUCCUCUGGAAAGGUUAGAGGGAGAGGAUGCAGUCAGAAUGGG
Molecule: small nucleolar RNA, 209 nt
Organism: Suncus etruscus (white-toothed pygmy shrew)
Lineage: Eukaryota; Metazoa; Chordata; Mammalia; Eulipotyphla; Soricidae
Product: small nucleolar RNA U3
Exons: 1
Source: RefSeq, a predicted model, not a curated record